This 403-nucleotide ribosomal RNA is filed under the name Fusobacteriota bacterium. RNAcentral's name for it is "Fusobacteria bacterium partial 16S ribosomal RNA". It matches the Rfam family "Bacterial small subunit ribosomal RNA", at positions 355 to 776 of the family's 1533-position model. Lineage: Bacteria; Fusobacteriati; Fusobacteriota. The record is from RNAcentral.
UGGGGAAUAUUGCACAAUGGAGGGAACUCUGAUGCAGCGACGCCGCGUGAACGAAGAAGGCUUUCGAGUCGUAAAGUUCUUUUAUAUGGGAAGAUAAUGACGGUACCAUAAGAAAAAGCCCCGGCUAACUACGUGCCAGCAGCCGCGGUAAUACGUAGGGGGCUAGCGUUGUCCGGAAUCACUGGGCGUAAAGGGUUCGCAGGCGGAAAUGCAAGUCAGGUGUAAAAGGCAGUAGCUUAACUACUGUAAGCAUUUGAAACUGCAUAUCUUGAGAAGAGUAGAGGUAAGUGGAAUUUGUAGGGUAGCGGUGAAAUGCGUAGAUAUUAAAAAGAAUACCGGUGGCGAAGGGGACUUACUGGGCUCAUUCUGACGCUGAGGAACGAAAGCGUGGGUAGCAAACAGG